GAUGUAGAACGUAGCGAAAUGCGAUAAGUAAUGUGAAUUGCAGAAUUCAGUGAAUCAUCGAAUCUUUGAACGCACAUUGCGCCCGCCAGUAUUCUGGCGGGCAUGCCUGUCUGAGCGUCAUUUCAACCCUCAUGCCCCUAGGGCGUGGUGUUGGGGAUCGGCCAAAGCCCGCGAGGGACGGCCGGCCCCUAAAUCUAGUGGCGGACCCGUCGUGGCCUCCUCUGCGAAGUAGUGAUAUUCCGCAUCGGAGAGCGAUGAGCCCCUGCCGUUAAACCCCCAACUUUCCAAGGUUGACCUCAGAUCAGGUAGGAAUACCCGCUGAACUUAAGCAUAUCAAUAAGCGGAGGA
This 348-nucleotide unclassified non-coding RNA is filed under the name soil metagenome. RNAcentral's name for it is "partial contains 5.8S ribosomal RNA, internal transcribed spacer 2, and large subunit ribosomal RNA". The stretch from base 1 to 120 matches the Rfam family "5.8S ribosomal RNA", at positions 35 to 154 of the family's 154-position model. The record is from RNAcentral.